AGAAUCUUCCGCAAUGGGCGAAAGCCUGACGGAGCGACGCCGCGUGGAGGACGAAGGCCUUCGGGUUGUAAACUCCUGUCACGAGUUAAGAAGGGUCUGCGGCGAACAGCCGUAGGCUUUGACGUAAGCUCGAGAGGAAGCACUGGCUAACUCUGUGCCCGCAGCCGCGGUAAUACAGAGAGUGCAAACGUUGUUCGGAAUUACUGGGCUUAAAGAGCACGUAGGCGGCAUCGUAAGUGUCUGGUGAAAUCCCACGGCUCACCCGUGGAACUGCCCGGCAUACUGCGGUGCUAGAGUGUGGUAGGGGAGAGCGGAACUCCAGGUGGAGCGGUGAAAUGCGUAGAUAUCUGGAGGAACACCGGUGGCGAAGGCGGCUCUCUGGUCCACAACUGACGCUGAGGUGCGAAAGCUAGGGUAGCGAAC
This 423-nucleotide ribosomal RNA is filed under the name uncultured bacterium. RNAcentral describes it as "bacterial SSU rRNA". It matches the Rfam family "Bacterial small subunit ribosomal RNA", at positions 358 to 773 of the family's 1533-position model. The record is from RNAcentral.